RNAcentral lists this transfer RNA (77 nucleotides) under Escherichia coli. Its description in RNAcentral is "tRNA-Arg". It matches the Rfam family "tRNA". From Rfam's summary of the family: Transfer RNA (tRNA) molecules are approximately 80 nucleotides in length. Lineage: Bacteria; Pseudomonadati; Pseudomonadota; Gammaproteobacteria; Enterobacterales; Enterobacteriaceae. The record is from RNAcentral.
GCGCCCUUAGCUCAGUUGGAUAGAGCAACGAUCUUCUAAGUCGUGGGCCGCAGGUUCGAAUCCUGCAGGGCGCGCCA